Molecule: non-coding RNA, 27 nt
Filed under: Cricetulus griseus (Chinese hamster)
Lineage: Eukaryota; Metazoa; Chordata; Mammalia; Rodentia; Cricetidae
Source: RNAcentral
ACUGUUAGGAGAAAGCCAGGGCGUGGA